This is a long non-coding RNA of Vigna angularis (adzuki bean), 281 nucleotides long. RefSeq lists it as uncharacterized. The transcript is spliced from 3 exons. The record is from RefSeq and is a predicted model, not a curated record. NCBI's taxonomy places the organism in Eukaryota, Viridiplantae, Streptophyta, Magnoliopsida, Fabales, Fabaceae.
UGCAUCUUGUCUUAUUCAAAACAAUUCCAAGCGAAGUCAGCUGAAGAAUGUUCUUACCGAUAACUCUUCUGGUUCUAAGAAAGUUAUGAAGGAGUGUCACAAUGAGGAUGCACAAUUCGCAUUUGCUGUUGACAAAAUCUUAGAAAUGCCAUCAGAUCAUUCAACUGAUAACUGUUAUUCUGGCAACGUUGCAAUUCUCUACCGUAGGCAGGUAUCAGGGAAAGCCUUCCAAAUGGCUUUCCGUGAUAGGAAAAUACCAUUUAACAUUCACGGUGUGGCUU